CCUACGGGAGGCAGCAGUGGGGGAUAUUGCACAAUGGGGGGAACCCUGAUGCAGCGACGCCGCGUGUGGGAAGACGGUCCUCUGGAUUGUAAACCACUGUCCCCAGGGACGAAAAUGACGGUACCUGGGGAGGAAGCUCCGGCUAAAUACGUGCCAGCAGCCGCGGUACUUCGUAGGGAGCGAGGGUUGUCCGGAAUUACUGGGGGAAAGGGGAGCGUAGGCGGGGAUGAAAGGUGGGUGUCAAAACUACGGGCUAAACUGGUAGUCGCACUCAAAACUGCAGCUCUUGAGUGAAGUAGAGGCAGGCGGAAUUCCUAGUGUAGCGGUGAAAUGCGUAGAUAUUAGGAGGAACACCAGUGGCGAAGGCGGCCUGCUGGGCUUUUACUGACGCUGAGGCUCGAAAGUGUGGGGAGCAAACAGGAUUAGAUACCCGUGUAGUC
This 440-nucleotide ribosomal RNA is filed under the name uncultured bacterium. RNAcentral's name for it is "partial 16S ribosomal RNA". It matches the Rfam family "Bacterial small subunit ribosomal RNA", at positions 338 to 795 of the family's 1533-position model. The record is from RNAcentral.